This 979-nucleotide ribosomal RNA is filed under the name human gut metagenome. RNAcentral describes it as "bacterial LSU rRNA". It matches the Rfam family "Bacterial large subunit ribosomal RNA", at positions 1945 to 2925 of the family's 2925-position model. The record is from RNAcentral.
ACGGUCCUAAGGUAGCGAAAUUCCUUGUCGGGUAAGUUCCGACCCGCACGAAAGGCGUAAUGAUUUGAGCGCUGUCUCGACAAUGCAUCCGGUGAAAUUGAAGUACCAGUGAAGAUGCUGGUUACCUGCGCCAGGACGGAAAGACCCCAUGGAGCUUUACUCCAGCUUGAUACUGGGAUUCGGUACUGCAUGUACAGGAUAGGUGGGAGACUGAGAAACUUGAACGCCAGUUUGAGUGGAGUCGCUGUUGGGAUACCACCCUUGCAGUAUUGGAUUUCUAACCAGCAGCCGUGACCCGGCUGGGGGACAAUGUCAGGUGGGGAGUUUGACUGGGGCGGUCGCCUCCGAAAGGGUAUCGGAGGCGCUCAAAGGUUCCCUCAGAAUGGUUGGAAACCAUUCGAAGAGUGCAAAGGCAGAAGGGAGCUUGACUGCGACACCGACGGGUGGAGCAGGUACGAAAGUAGGACUUAGUGAUCCGGUGGUAUAAAGUGGGAUUGCCAUCGCUCAACGGAUAAAAGCUACCCUGGGGAUAACAGGCUUAUCACUCCCAAGAGUUCACAUCGACGGAGUGGUUUGGCACCUCGAUGUCGGCUCAUCGCAUCCUGGGGCUGUAGUAGGUCCCAAGGGUUGGGCUGUUCGCCCAUUAAAGCGGUACGCGAGCUGGGUUCAGAACGUCGUGAGACAGUUCGGUCCCUAUCCGGCGUGGGCGUAGGAUAUCUGAGAGGAGCUGUCCUUAGUACGAGAGGACCGGGAUGGACGGGCCGCUGGUGCAUCGGUUAGACUGCCAAGUCUACGGCCGAGUAGCCAAGCCCGGAAGGGAUAAACGCUGAAGGCAUCUAAGCGUGAAGCCCCCCUUAAGAUGAGAUAUCCCAUUCGAAAGAAGUAAACCCCCUUGAAGACGACGAGGUAGAUAGGGCAGAGGUGGAAGUGCAGUAAUGCAUGGAGCUGACUGUUACUAAUCGGUCGAGGGCAUAACCAA